This 497-nucleotide ribosomal RNA is filed under the name uncultured bacterium. RNAcentral's name for it is "partial 16S ribosomal RNA". It matches the Rfam family "Bacterial small subunit ribosomal RNA", at positions 28 to 507 of the family's 1533-position model. The record is from RNAcentral.
GAUGAACGCUGGCGGCGUGCCUAAUACAUGCAAGUCGAGCGAACAGACGAGGAGCUUGCUCCUCUGACGUUAGCGGCGGACGGGUGAGUAACACGUGGAUAACCUACCUAUAAGACUGGGAUAACUUCGGGAAACCGGAGCUAAUACCGGAUAAUAUAUUGAACCGCAUGGUUCAAUAGUGAAAGACGGUUUUGCUGUCACUUAUAGAUGGAUCCGCGCCGCAUUAGCUAGUUGGUAAGGUAACGGCUUACCAAGGCAACGAUGCGUAGCCGACCUGAGAGGGUGAUCGGCCACACUGGAACUGAGACACGGUCCAGACUCCUACGGGAGGCAGCAGUAGGGAAUCUUCAGCAAUGGGCGAAAGCUUGACGGAGCAACGCCGCGUGAGUGAUGAAGGUCUUCGGAUCGUAAAACUCUGUUAUUAGGGAAGAACAAAUGUGUAAGUAACUAUGCACGUCUUGACGGUACAUAAUCAGAAAGCCACGGCUAACUACGUG